This is a small nuclear RNA of 193 nucleotides. Its record names the gene U1. It matches the Rfam family "U1 spliceosomal RNA". Rfam says of the family: U1 is a small nuclear RNA (snRNA) component of the spliceosome (involved in pre-mRNA splicing). The record is from Ensembl.
AUACUUACCUGGCAGGGGAGAUACCAUGAUCACGAGGGUGGUUUUCCCAGGGCAAGACUUAUCCAUUGCACUCCAGAUGUGCUGACCCCUGCCAUUGCACUCCAGAUGUGUUGACCCCUGCAGUUUCCCCAAAUGUGGGAAAACCGACUGCAUAAUUAGUGGUAGUGGGGAACUGCGUUCACACUCCCCCCUA